This 175-nucleotide small RNA is filed under the name Arabidopsis thaliana (thale cress). Its description in RNAcentral is "ATSL183540". The record is from RNAcentral. Lineage: Eukaryota; Viridiplantae; Streptophyta; Magnoliopsida; Brassicales; Brassicaceae.
ACCAUCCAAUCCGUUGAGCACCUUAAGUCUCUCUUUCAACUUAUUGAGCCCUUCCGAUUCAAUGGGAUUUGUCGUGAAAGUUUCCUUCUUCAACCGUCUUCCGUUCUUGAGAAUAUAUGUAGCUAUUUCUUUCUCUUCUUCUCUUCCCCAAUCCAAUCUUCUCCACACAAAUGUC